AAUCAGUAGAAGAAGGUAAAAUGCUACACAAAUUGUCAAUUCCAAAAGAAGACUAAUGUGUUUUUGGUAAAAGAUAAGAAGUCAUGAGAAUGUGGAUUUUUUUCUGCCUAGAUUAAAGGGCUAAAGGAUUGUUAUAAGUUAGAUAAGAUAAAGCUGAAGGUUUCAGAAGAAACAAGAGGGAUAGGUAAUGUAAAAAUCUGGAUCAGUAUUCUAAUUCUGGAUAUGUAUUGGAAUCAGCCAGCGACCCCAUAGCAGCUUGGUUCCGUAAAAUGAGGCUGGGCUGAGACCUACUGGGCUGUAUUCCCAGGAGGUUAGGCAUUCUAAGUCACAGGAUGAGAUAGGAGUUUGGCACAAGAUACAGGUCACAAAGACCUUGCUGAUAAAACAACAUGUGGUAAAGAAGCCAGCCAAAACCCACCAAAACCAAGAUGGCAACGAAGAUGACCUCUAGUUGUCCUCACUGCUCAUUAUAUGCUAAUUAUAAUGCAUUAACAUGCUAAAAGACACUCCCACUAGUGUCAUGACAGUUUACAGAUGCCAUGGCAACAUCAGGAAGUUACCAUAUAUGGUCUAAAAAGGGGAGGAACCCUCAAUUCCAAAAAUUGCCCACCCCUUUCCCAGAAAACUCAUUCAUCUACCCCUUGUUUAGCAUAUAAUCAAGAAGUAACAAUAAGUAUCCUUACCCAAGCAGCUCAAGCCAUUGCUCUGCCUAUGGAGCAGCCAUUCUCUCUUCCUUUACCUUCUUAAUAAACUUGCUUUCACUUGAAACAAAAAAUCAAUGGCCUAUGAUCCUACUUUAAGAAUAAAAAGGAGAGCAAAUUAAAUCAAAGAUCA
Molecule: long non-coding RNA, 834 nt
Filed under: Homo sapiens (human)
Lineage: Eukaryota; Metazoa; Chordata; Mammalia; Primates; Hominidae
Description: non-protein coding lnc-NHLRC3-3:1
Source: RNAcentral